Molecule: ribosomal RNA, 301 nt
Filed under: uncultured bacterium
Lineage: Bacteria
Description: partial 16S ribosomal RNA
Rfam family: Bacterial small subunit ribosomal RNA
Source: RNAcentral
CAGUAGCCACGGUAAAACGUAGGUGGCAAGCGUUGUCCGGAAUUAUUGGGCGUAAAGCGCGCGCAGGCGGAUAGGUCAGUCUGUCUUAAAAGUUCGGGGCUUAACCCCGUGAGGGGAUGGAAACUGCUGAUCUAGAGUAUCGGAGAGGAAAGUGGAAUUCCUAGUGUAGCGGUGAAAUGCGUAGAUAUUAGGAAGAACACCAGUGGCGAAGGCGACUUUCUGGACGAAAACUGACGCUGAGGCGCGAAAGUCAGGGGAGCGAACGGGAUUAGAGACCCCAGUAGUCCCUGUCUCUUAUACA